AAAAGAAACAGGUCCAUUGUGAUUUCCUACUCAUCCCUAAAACCCACUCAUAUGCUCCAUCAAUAAACUACUGUCGUCAAGAUUUCCGGCAUUAUUACGGCGAAAUUCGGCAAGAAACCACCGCUGUCAUUCGUAACUCAUUUUUGGCGAUUUCAGGCAAGAAAACGAACCAAACGUAACAACAAUUUAGUUUGUCGCGUGAGUUCAGCUUUUUGGGGCUUUUAUGGUUCUUCGUUCCAAGUUCAGAAUAGGUGUAUUGCAAAUGAGUUGCUGAUAAGUGGACUUCCAAAAUCGAUUAUGAGUGAUCCUA
Long non-coding RNA from Helianthus annuus (common sunflower), 310 nucleotides. RefSeq lists it as uncharacterized. The record is from RefSeq and is a predicted model, not a curated record. Lineage: Eukaryota; Viridiplantae; Streptophyta; Magnoliopsida; Asterales; Asteraceae. The transcript is spliced from 4 exons.